This 588-nucleotide ribosomal RNA is filed under the name uncultured freshwater bacterium. RNAcentral's name for it is "bacterial SSU rRNA". It matches the Rfam family "Bacterial small subunit ribosomal RNA", at positions 8 to 607 of the family's 1533-position model. The record is from RNAcentral.
AGAGUUUGAUCCUGGCUCAGGACGAACGCUGGCGGCGUGCUUAACACAUGCAAGUCGAACGAUGAAGCCGGAGCUUGCUCUGGUGGAUUAGUGGCGAACGGGUGAGUAACACGUGAGUAACCUGCCCUUGACUCUGGGAUAAGCGUUGGAAACGACGUCUAAUACCGGAUACGAGCUAGGACCGCAUGGUCACUAGCUGGAAAGAAUUUCGGUCAAGGAUGGACUCGCGGCCUAUCAGUUAGUUGGUGAGGUAACGGCUCACCAAGACGACGACGGGUAGCCGGCCUGAGAGGGUGACCGGCCACACUGGGACUGAGACACGGCCCAGACUCCUACGGGAGGCAGCAGUGGGGAAUAUUGCACAAUGGGCGCAAGCCUGAUGCAGCAACGCCGCGUGAGGGACGACGGCCUUCGGGUUGUAAACCUCUUUUAGCAGGGAAGAAGCGAAAGUGACGGUACCUGCAGAAAAAGCACCGGCUAACUACGUGCCAGCAGCCGCGGUAAUACGUAGGGUGCAAGCGUUGUCCGGAAUUAUUGGGCGUAAAGAGCUCGUAGGCGGUUUGUCGCGUCUGCUGUGAAAACCCGAGG